AGUAAAUAGAUACCCGGGUAGUCCACGCCGUAAACGAUGAGUACUAGGUGUAGGAGGUAUCGACUCCUUCUGUGCCGCAGUUAAACACAAUAAGUACUCCGCCUGGGAAGUACGGUCGCAAGAUUAAAAACCUCAAAGGAAUUGACGGGGGUCCCGGCACAAGCAGCGGAGCAUGUGGUUUAAAACUUCGAAGCAACGCGAAGAACCUUACCUAGACUUGACAUCUCCUGAAUAGUGUAGAGAUACAUGAAGCCCUUCGGGGUCAGGAAGACAGGUGGUGCAUGGUUGUCGUCAGCUCGUGUCGUGAGAUGUUGGG
RNAcentral lists this ribosomal RNA (316 nucleotides) under uncultured bacterium. RNAcentral describes it as "bacterial SSU rRNA". It matches the Rfam family "Bacterial small subunit ribosomal RNA", at positions 775 to 1079 of the family's 1533-position model. The record is from RNAcentral.